Molecule: microRNA, 21 nt
Filed under: Cordylochernes scorpioides
Lineage: Eukaryota; Metazoa; Arthropoda; Arachnida; Pseudoscorpiones; Chernetidae
Source: RNAcentral
GUGAAGUUUUCCUACCCUCGG